AGCAGUUGAUCAAGCCAUUUGAACUGAGUUCUUCCAUUGCUCGAUCGGGUUUCCUCGCCUUUCUUGGAAACGCACAUUACGAGGGGUACCGAAGGAAUAUGUUCUGGAAGGCUGUUGCUGAGCUCUAGCGAAGGAUCUGCAGUGCCACCUUGUUGCAUAAGACGGGGAGAUGUUAUGUAAGUCAGUCAGCUUCCGAGCACAUCAACCACGGCACUCCUAGCCCCCACACAAAGUGCUAAUGGGACUGAAACCACAACUCACUUGGAAAUGAAGAGGUGGCUGAAGGUAUAAAUAUGGCAUGAAACUGAUAGGACCAUGGCUGGUGUUUCACCAAAGCUGAGAGCACUUUUCCCCACAAGGACAGUCUCACACACAUUCUUUGAAUAUGAGAAAAGUGUUACACUCUAAAAGACCAGCAC
This is a non-coding RNA of Python bivittatus (Burmese python), 419 nucleotides long. NCBI's taxonomy places the organism in Eukaryota, Metazoa, Chordata, Lepidosauria, Squamata, Pythonidae. The record is from RefSeq and is a predicted model, not a curated record.